Molecule: ribosomal RNA, 301 nt
Filed under: uncultured bacterium
Lineage: Bacteria
Description: partial 16S ribosomal RNA
Rfam family: Bacterial small subunit ribosomal RNA
Source: RNAcentral
CAGCCGCCGCGGUAAAACGAAGGGUGCAAGCGUUAAUCGGAAUUACUGGGCGUAAAGCGUGCGUAGGCGGUGAGUUAAGUCUGCUGUGAAAUCCCCGGGCUCAACCUGGGAAUUGCAGUGGAUACUGGAUCACUAGAGUGUGGUAGAGGAUAGUGGAAUUUCCGGUGUAGCAGUGAAAUGCGUAGAGAUCGGAAGGAACAUCUGUGGCGAAAGCGGCUCACUGGACCAUAACUGACGCUGAUGCACGAAAGCUAGGGGAGCAAACAGGAUUAGAUACCCCCGUAGUCCCUGUCUCUUAUAC